RNAcentral lists this ribosomal RNA (224 nucleotides) under Crithopsis delileana. RNAcentral's name for it is "partial 18S ribosomal RNA". Lineage: Eukaryota; Viridiplantae; Streptophyta; Magnoliopsida; Poales; Poaceae. The record is from RNAcentral.
AUCAUAGUCAAAAUCUGAGUUUGAUCCUGGCUCAGAAGGAACGCUAGCUAUAUGCUUAACACAUGCAAGUCGAACGUUGUUUUCGGGGAGCUGGGUAGAAGGAAAAGAGGCUCCUAGCUAAAGUUGUCUCGCCCUGCUUCAAAACUACAGGGCGCGCGCUACAACUUUGACCUAAUGGCCUCCGUUUGCUGGAAUCGGAAUAGUUGAGAACAAAGUGGCGAACG